Molecule: ribosomal RNA, 442 nt
Filed under: uncultured bacterium
Lineage: Bacteria
Description: bacterial SSU rRNA
Rfam family: Bacterial small subunit ribosomal RNA
Source: RNAcentral
AGCGAACGCUGGCGGCAGGCUUAACACAUGCAAGUCGAGCGCCCCCGCAAGGGGGAGCGGCAGACGGGUGAGUAACACGUGGGAACGUACCCUUUGGUUCGGAACAACACAGGGAAACUUGUGCUAAUACCGGAUAAGCCCUUACGGGGAAAGAUUUAUCGCCGAAGGAUCGGCCCGCGUCUGAUUAGCUAGUUGGUGAGGUAACGGCUCACCAAGGCGACGAUCAGUAGCUGGUCUGAGAGGAUGAUCAGCCACACUGGGACUGAGACACGGCCCAGACUCCUACGGGAGGCAGCAGUGGGGAAUAUUGGACAAUGGGCGCAAGCCUGAUCCAGCCAUGCCGCGUGAGUGAUGAAGGCCUUAGGGUUGUAAAGCUCUUUCGGCGGGGAAGAUAAUGACGGUACCCGCAGAAGAAGCCCCGGCUAACUUCGUGCCAGCCGCC